CCUACCAAUAUGCUGAUUGCCAGUGUGCUGAAGGCAGUCAUAGCCUCCAUCUGUCUUGGAUCCAGCAUGACCCAGAAAGUAAUUCAAGCCCAGUCUGCAAUUUCUGUGGUGGAGAAGGAGGCUGUGGCCUUGAACUGUGCAUAUGAAGUUAGCAGUUACAAUUAUUAUUUGUUCUGGUACAAACAACCACCAAGUGGGAAAAUGACUUUUCUUAUUCACCAGGAGUCUUAUAAAGAGCAAAAUACCACAGAGGGUCGAUAUUCUCUGAACUUCCAGAAAUCAGCCAGUUCCAUCAGCCUCACCAUCACAGACUCACAGCUCAGGGACUCAGCGGUGUAUUUCUGUGCUUUGAGAGAUGCCACAGUGAUGUGGGUGCCUGUGGGGGCCCCGCAAAAUCAUCAACAUGAGAGAGAAGCCCUGGGGAGGGACUCCAUCACAGACAGGAUGAAGCAGGGGCUGUGUCAACACAGGUGGGGGGCUGGCAAGGAAACUUUAGUUCAAUUCAUACAGAAUGUGUAGAUAUAUCAUCCAUUAAAAGCAAAGGGAUCUCUCAUUCUUUAGAACACAUUAAGAUAGAAUAUA
Non-coding RNA from Myotis brandtii (Brandt's bat), 582 nucleotides. Lineage: Eukaryota; Metazoa; Chordata; Mammalia; Chiroptera; Vespertilionidae. The record is from the annotation of a RefSeq genome assembly.